Molecule: ribosomal RNA, 465 nt
Filed under: Vreelandella stevensii
Lineage: Bacteria; Pseudomonadati; Pseudomonadota; Gammaproteobacteria; Oceanospirillales; Halomonadaceae
Description: partial 16S ribosomal RNA
Rfam family: Bacterial small subunit ribosomal RNA
Source: RNAcentral
CCUACGGGAGGCAGCAGUGGGGAAUAUUGGACAAUGGGGGGAACCCUGAUCCAGCCAUGCCGCGUGUGUGAAGAAGGCCCUCGGGUUGUAAAGCACUUUCAGUGAGGAAGAACGCCUGGUGGUUAAUACCCAUCAGGAAAGACAUCACUCACAGAAGAAGCACCGGCUAACUCCGUGCCAGCAGCCGCGGUAAUACGGAGGGUGCGAGCGUUAAUCGGAAUUACUGGGCGUAAAGCGCGCGUAGGUGGCUUGAUAAGCCGGUUGUGAAAGCCCCGGGCUCAACCUGGGAACGGCAUCCGGAACUGUCAAGCUAGAGUGCAGGAGAGAAAGGUAGAAUUCCCGGUGUAGCGGUGAAAUGCGUAGAGAUCGGGAGGAAUACCAGUGGCGAAGGCGGCCUUCUGGACUGACACUGACACUGAGGUGCGAAAGCGUGGGUAGCAAACAGGAUUAGAUACCCCAGUAGUC